RNAcentral lists this ribosomal RNA (439 nucleotides) under uncultured bacterium. Its description in RNAcentral is "partial 16S ribosomal RNA". It matches the Rfam family "Bacterial small subunit ribosomal RNA", at positions 339 to 795 of the family's 1533-position model. The record is from RNAcentral.
CUACGGGUUGCUGCAGUGGGGAAUUUUGCGCAAUGGGGGAAACCCUGACGCAGCAAUACCGCGUGAGUGAAGAAGGCAUUUGGGUCGUAAAGCUCUUUUCUUGGGGAAGAUAGUGACGGUACCCAAGGAAUAAGCACCGGCUAACUCCGUGCCAGCAGCCGCGGUAAUACGGAGGGUGCAAGCGUUGUUCGGAUUUACUGGGCGUAAAGGGCACGUAGGCGGCACAGCAAGUUAAGGGUGAAAUCCCGGGGCUCAACUCCGGAACUGCUCUUAAAACUGCUGAGCUAGAGAUAGUCAGAGGCGGGUGGAAUUCCAGGUGUAGAGGUGAAAUUCGUAGAUAUCUGGAGGAACACCGGUAGCGAAGGCGGCCCGCUGGGGCUAUUCUGACGCUAAGGUGCGAAAGCGUGGGGAGCAAACGGGAUUAGAUACCCGCGUAGUC